AGUUCCCCGGCUGGAUGCGGUGACUGGUGCCAGUGCUCAGGCGCCCGCUGCCCUUGACCUCCCGCCCCGCGAGCCCUAACUCAGCGCAGGAGGACCGGCUGCCGCCGCCGCCGCCGCCAGAUCCACACAACUUAAAGAUCUGCUGCCGAGUGAAUGGGGAAGUCGUCCAGAGCAGCAACACCAACCAGAUGGUAUUCAAGACAGAGGACCUGAUAGCCUGGGUCUCCCAGUGAGUGACAAGGGCUGUCCUGCCAGCCCCGCUCCACCUGCCACACAUGUGGAGGCUGACCUGAGCCCUCCACCUUUGGCUGUGGCCACUCAGCCAGCCCCUGGUCUCACUGGGUCCUUUUGCUUUGCUCCAGGUUUGUUACCUUUUACCCAGGGGAUGUCAUCCUAACUGGGACCCCCCCAGGUGUCGGUGUAUUCAGGAAACCUCCUGUCUUUCUCAAGGUAGGUUAGCGAAAAGCAAAGAGAGCAAGGGCCCCAAAGGCCUGGCAGGCUUGGCUCA
This 508-nucleotide long non-coding RNA is filed under the name Homo sapiens (human). RNAcentral describes it as "non-protein coding lnc-FAM178B-4:1". The record is from RNAcentral. Lineage: Eukaryota; Metazoa; Chordata; Mammalia; Primates; Hominidae.